GAAUCAAAUCUGAAAAUGUCCCUGAAAAUAAGGAUGGAUCAGAUGACGAUGAUGAUGACGAUGAUGAAGAUGAGGAUGAAGAGGGUGGUGAUGACGACGAUGAUGCUGAAGAGGAUUUCUCCGGAGAAGAAGAUGGGGGUGACGACGAUGAUGAAGAUGAUGAUCCUGAGGCUAAUGGUGAAGGAGGGAGUGAUGACGACGAUGAUGAUGAGGAUGGUGAUGAUGAUGGCGAUGAUGAAGAUGAGGAUGACGAUGAGGAUGACGAUGAGGAGGAUGACGAAGAUGAGGAAGACCAGCCCCCUUCCAAGAAGAAGAAGUGAUUUGCUCUUCCAUGGAUUCACCUCAGCUUCUCCAUGCUGUUAGUUGGGUUGUUU
Molecule: long non-coding RNA, 374 nt
Filed under: Sorghum bicolor (sorghum)
Lineage: Eukaryota; Viridiplantae; Streptophyta; Magnoliopsida; Poales; Poaceae
Description: long non-coding RNA (SBIC_LNC003744)
Source: RNAcentral